Phoenix dactylifera (date palm) is the source of this 2327-nucleotide non-coding RNA. The record is from RefSeq and is a predicted model, not a curated record. NCBI's taxonomy places the organism in Eukaryota, Viridiplantae, Streptophyta, Magnoliopsida, Arecales, Arecaceae.
AUGAAAGGGGAGGCAGAAGGUCACCCGGAUUUUAUUAAGCAGAAAAAUAAUUACAAGAUCAGAACAGAAGGAAUGCGAAGUUUAGCUGCAACGGGGCUAUUGAGAUGUAAACGAAGGAAAAAGAAAAUGACAAACAGGGAUAAAGCUAAGAACAAAAGUGCUGUCAGAUGAAAAUGGGAAACCGAGCAGCAAUUGCAGAGUAAAUAGCAGAAACAAGAUCAAACUAUGAUUUGGGCCACGUACUAAUGAAUCAGUCAAUCACUGACUAUUGGAUCAGCCCCCAAAUAUUGAACAAGUUUGAAUGUUUGAUUCGACCCUCAUUCUGACGUUGGACACUCUCGGGCCAUUCACUGGGCUACUCUUCUUUUACUAGAUCCUCCAGUCAUGUAAAGAACUGGUUUUUUCCCUCCUUGCCUUCCCUCUUCUUCUUUGCGGCCCUUCGAUCUCGUCAUUUGCAGUCGUCUGCUUGAGCUAAAGACUCGUCUAAGAGGUUGGCCGGGCUCGGCACUGAUCGGCGGAGAAAACCGGCUUCGGAACCACUGGCGCAUGAUUCUUGCAAGUGGAAUUGAAGGCAUGGAUGGAUUUCGACAGAGAUGGAGCUUACAUGGACGCCUUGAGGAUACCAAAAAAAGACUAGAAGCCUUGAACCAGGGAAUGAUGGAGAGGAAAAUUGAACAGUCCCCAGGAGCGUCUAAGGUAGAACAACUUUAAAAGAAAUGGUUUUUUGGUAACUUCCUUUUUUUCAAAAAAGAACUUUCUUGUAGUGAAGCAUGGUGUUUAUCUCUCUUCUAUAUUCACAAAACCAAGGAUUGCGGAACCGGUAUCGGGUGCCAUACCAGUCGGCGCCCGAUCUGGUUCGGUACCGGAUCGAACCAGACGGAACCGGUCCGGUUCUGUUCAGUUCGCUCUUGUACCGGCCGGUUUUGCCUCCUAUGGAGCUGGAACCGUUUUAUGUGCCCGAACCGACCCGGUCAGAGACUGGGUUAGCUCGAUUUGGCCUAAAUCGGUCGGUAUAGCCCGAUUCGGCAUUCCUUGCACAAAACACAGAAUUAGUCUUUCCACAUCUAAAUCAAGAAUAUUGUGUGAGUCUGUGACCAUUCGUUUCUUGUUAUAUUUCCUCUCAGACAAGAGGAAGGUCCUGGCUAGUUUCAGACAUCCACUUGCUGAAUUAUGCUGAUUAACAUGCACCAAGAAAGAAGAGGUAGCCAUGCAGCAGUUAAAAAUCUUUAAUAAUAAACUGAAAAUAAAAAUAAAUUUGCGAUGCACUUUAAUCCAAGUGACUCGAUAGGGCUUUGGUUGUGGGUUGGUCUUGAGCCCAAAUUUGUUGAUGGAGGCCAUGUUCUUGUUGUUGGCAAUAGCAGUGGUGAUUGAGUGAUUUUGGUAGGCAAUACAUUGCUGGAAGAUAUUAUUCCUCCUAUCAGAUCAAUCAAUUCACUAGAAAUUUACUAAAUGCAAGCAGCAAAUGUUUUUUGUUAGAAUAUCAAAUUGCAAGCAUCUCUUCUCCUAUGAAACUCAACUUCAUAACAACAUUAGGCCUAAAUGCAGAGUUGAACUUAUUGGAAUGUAUUAUGGCCCUGUUUGGGGGAGCUUUUGGAGGGCCAAAAAGCACUUUCUGGCCCUCCAAAAGUAUUUUUAGGUAAAAAAGAGUGUUUGGUAAAAUUUUGGAAAAGUUGUUUCAGCUUUUGCAGGAAGCUGAAAGCAGCUUUUUGGCAGAAGCUCCAUUUUGGAGCUUUCCGAAAAUGCUGUUUUCAGCUUUGUCGGGAAGCUGUAUUUUUUACCAAAAUACCCCCAUUUAAAAGUUCAUUUUUUCUCCCAAAAAUCUCCAUCCCACCGCCUUUUCCUCUCUCACCAUCCCCCCCUCUCUCUCUCCCUCUCUAUCUCCUUCUCCUCAAUGUCGCCGGCCCUCCUCCUUUUUCUUUUUUUUUUUUUGUUUUGGGAGGGAGCCCAUGGCUGCCCAGCCACCCAUGGCCGCGCUCCCCAGCCGCCGCUGCGACCCACCACAACAAAAAAAAGAGGAAGGGGCGGCCAUGGCCGCCGCCUCCCCGGCAGGCGCCGCGGCCCGCCGUCCCGACCCCCUCCCGAGCCCCCCCUCCCCCCGCGGUCGCCGCGGCCCGCCGUCCCGGCCUCCUCCCGAGCCCCCCUCCCCCCGCGGUCGUCGCGGCCCGCUGUCCCGGUCUCCUCCCGAGCCCCCCUCCCCCGCGGUCGCCGGGGCCUGCUGUCCCACUCCCCUCCCGGGCCUCCUCCCGUGGCCGCCGCGGCCCGGCCCCUUCCGGCACCACCGGCCUCGCGGGAGAAGAAAGGAGAAGGAAAGAGAAGAAGGAAAGAGG